RNAcentral lists this transfer RNA (73 nucleotides) under Bos taurus (domestic cattle). It matches the Rfam family "tRNA". Rfam says of the family: Transfer RNA (tRNA) molecules are approximately 80 nucleotides in length. Their secondary structure includes four short double-helical elements and three loops (D, anti-codon, and T loops). The record is from Rfam by way of RNAcentral. RNAcentral also lists the same sequence under 4 other names. Lineage: Eukaryota; Metazoa; Chordata; Mammalia; Artiodactyla; Bovidae.
UCCCUGGUGGUCAAGCAAUUAAGACUCUUCACUUUCAUUGCAGGGGGCACAGGUUCAAUCCCUGGUCAGGGAA